GACGAACGCUGGCGGCGUGCUUAACACAUGCCAGUCGAACGGAAAGGCCCGGCUUUUGUGGGUUGCUCGAGUGCCGCACGGGUGAGUAACACGUGUGUAACCUCUCCUUAACUUUGGGAUAAAUCCAGGAAACUGGGGCGAUUACCGGAUAGGAUCUCCUGCUGCAUGGUGGUGGUUGGAAAGUUUCGGCGGUUGGGGAUGGACUCGCGGCUUAUCAGCUUGUUGGGGGGGUUGUGGAUUACCAAGGCUUUGACGGGUAGCCGGCCUGAGAGGGUGACCGGCGACAUGGGGACUGAGAUACGGACCAGACUCCUACGGGACGCAGCAGUGGGGAAUAUUGCACAAUGGCCGGAAGCGUGAUGCAGCAACGCCGCGUGCGGGAUGACGGGCUUCGGGUUGUAAACCGCUUUCGCCUGUGCCGAAGCGUGAGUGACGGUAAUGGGUAAAGAAGCACCGGCUAACUACGUG
RNAcentral lists this ribosomal RNA (468 nucleotides) under uncultured bacterium. RNAcentral describes it as "partial 16S ribosomal RNA". It matches the Rfam family "Bacterial small subunit ribosomal RNA", at positions 28 to 507 of the family's 1533-position model. The record is from RNAcentral.